Molecule: non-coding RNA, 1018 nt
Organism: Odocoileus virginianus texanus
Lineage: Eukaryota; Metazoa; Chordata; Mammalia; Artiodactyla; Cervidae
Source: RefSeq, a predicted model, not a curated record
ACGGGGGUGGUUAUGAAGUGAAAUACACACAUACACAGACCUACACACUAGGUCCUGCUACUAGGCAACUGGGUAUCAAUCCCCACAUCUGUGUCUCCACAUCCUCUCUGGACCAGAUCUCUUUCACUUUCUUCUUGUGCUGGUUCUGUUCUCUUUUGAAUCCUUUGGAGUCCAGUCAGUGGAGGCAGAAGAUGAGAAUGUGAGAGAGCUUGGGGAUCAUUGACUAAUUCCAACAGCAGAACUUGCCCCAGAUAUUAGCACGGUUUAUGAUGCUUGCUUCAAGUCUUUACUCAUGAGUCUUUUUCUAGGCAUAUUUUAAAUUGAUAAUCCUAUGGACCACCCCCUCACCUCCACCCAUUUUCCUGCUUUAUUUUUCUUCGUGGCUCUUAUCACCAACUAAAUUUGCAUUUGUUUGGAUGAUCUGUCUCCUCCAAUAUAGGGAAUAUGAGCUUGGAACAUGAGUCCCACAAGGACCGAGAUUUCACUGUGUUCACUGCUGUGUUCCCAGCGCUCAAAGGAUAUAGAUGAGCCUGUCCCUAGCAGGGCAGGCCCGGCUUCAUCUGUCAACUUGAUUAUGCAAAGCCUCUCUCUUCAGCUGGCAUCAGAAGUGGAUUUCAAAGCCAUGACUCAUGUGCGCUUCCAGGCUCAGGACCGGGGAACAAGCUCCAGCAAUGAGCUCUCCACACAGGUUUCCCUUCUGGAGAGAAGAUUUCCUCCAAGGCCCUGGGUGGCUAAAGGAUUCGGAAGUUUCUAUGAGUACACACGCGGGCAGACACACAACCAGGCGGUGGAUAGUUAUACCCACCUGAAGCAGCUUUCCUGUUAGCAGUUUUCCAGGGUCCUGUCUCUUGAAUCCAAAGAACACAUCUGCAACAGCUCAGACCACUGGGAUUCAGUGGAUAAAUGUGCAAAGAUGUGGGAUGCAGUUUCCCAUCAAUACAGUGAAGAAAGUUGCAUGUUUGGGACUUCCCCAGUGGUCCAGUGGCUGAGACUGCGUACUGGACUUGUCGACCUUAAA